GGAGGGUGCAAGCGUUAUCCGGAUUCACUGGGUUUAAAGGGUGCGUAGGCGGGUUGGUAAGUCCGUGGUGAAAUCUCCGAGCUUAACUCGGAAACUGCCGUGGAUACUAUCAAUCUUGAAUAUCGUGGAGGUAAGCGGAAUAUGUCAUGUAGCGGUGAAAUGCUUAGAUAUGACAUAGAACACCAAUUGCGUAGGCAGCUUACUACACGAUCAUUGACGCUGAGGCACGAAAGCGUGGGGAGCAAACAGGAUUAGAUACCCUGGUAGUCCACGCCCUAAACGAUGGAUACUCGACAUCAGCGAUACACUGUUGGUGUCUGAGCGAAAGCAUUAAGUAUCCCACCUGGGAAGUACGAUCGCAAG
RNAcentral lists this ribosomal RNA (363 nucleotides) under uncultured bacterium. RNAcentral describes it as "bacterial SSU rRNA". It matches the Rfam family "Bacterial small subunit ribosomal RNA", at positions 527 to 892 of the family's 1533-position model. The record is from RNAcentral.